AGUCAAAGAACUAAUAUACGCCAUCUUCAAGCAGCGAUUCACUCAGUCAUUACUAUCAGAAACGACCAAGGUCCAGAACAUCGAGAGAAACUGAGAAGGAGGAAAGUCCACGAAGAAGCCUCUCCUCUGGAAAUUCAAGAAAAAACAGAGAGCUCAGCUCGAUUCAUUGAACCCAAAGCCGAAAACCACAGAGAGAGAGAGAGAGAGAGAGAGAGAGAGGACUUGGCUUUAGCGAUCGAACGGCGAGGAGCCGAGCAGGAGGAGCCGUUGUAGUCGGAGCAAAGGCUGAGAGACGUCAGAAACUGAGCCGGAGCUCUGCCGAGCUCAGCGCUCUCCCUCGCUACAAUUCUUCUUCCAUCAUCUUCUAGC
RNAcentral lists this long non-coding RNA (369 nucleotides) under Eucalyptus grandis. RNAcentral's name for it is "long non-coding RNA (EGRA_LNC007927)". The record is from RNAcentral. Lineage: Eukaryota; Viridiplantae; Streptophyta; Magnoliopsida; Myrtales; Myrtaceae.